CUACGUAGGUGGCAAGCGUUGUCCGGAUUUAUUGGGCGUAAAGCGAGCGCAGGCGGUUUCUUAAGUCUGAUGUGAAAGCCCCCGGCUCAACCGGGGAGGGUCAUUGGAAACUGGGAGACUUGAGUGCAGAAGAGGAGAGUGGAAUUCCCUGUGUAGCGGUGAAAUGCGUAGACAUAUGGAGGAACACCAGUGGCGAAGGCGACUCCCGGGGCUGUAACGGAGGCUGAGGCUCGAAGGCGUGGGGAGCAAACAGGAUUAGAUACACUGGUGGUCCACGCCGUAAACGAUGAGUGCUAAGUGUUGGAGGGUUUCCGCCCGUCAGUGCUGCAGCUAACGCAUUAAGCACUCCGCCUGGGGAGUAAGACCGCAAAGUGGAAACUUAAAGGAAUUGACGGGG
Molecule: ribosomal RNA, 397 nt
Filed under: uncultured bacterium
Lineage: Bacteria
Description: partial 16S ribosomal RNA
Rfam family: Bacterial small subunit ribosomal RNA
Source: RNAcentral